UGGGGUUUCAUCAUGUUGGCCAGGAUGGU
This 29-nucleotide non-coding RNA is filed under the name Homo sapiens (human). The record is from RNAcentral. Lineage: Eukaryota; Metazoa; Chordata; Mammalia; Primates; Hominidae.